GUCCCUGUAGCGCAAUGGAUUGCCUGUUGAGCUUCUAAUGCAAAGGUCGUGGGAUCGCAUUCCACCUGAGAUG
This is a non-coding RNA of Trichonephila clavata, 73 nucleotides long. Lineage: Eukaryota; Metazoa; Arthropoda; Arachnida; Araneae; Nephilidae. The record is from the annotation of a GenBank genome assembly.